CCAAAGCAUGCAAGUCGAACGGCAGCGCGGGAGCAAUCCUGGCGGCGAGUGGCGAACGGGUGAGUAAUACAUCGGAACGUGCCCAAUCGUGGGGGAUAACGCAGCGAAAGCUGUGCUAAUACCGCAUACGAUCUACGGAUGAAAGCAGGGGAUCGCAAGACCUUGCGCGAAUGGAGCGGCCGAUGGCAGAUUAGGUAGUUGGUGAGGUAAAGGCUCACCAAGCCUUCGAUCUGUAGCUGGUCUGAGAGGACGACCAGCCACACUGGGACUGAGACACGGCCCAGACUCCUACGGGAGGCAGCAGUGGGGAAUUUUGGACAAUGGGCGAAAGCCUGAUCCAGCCAUGCCGCGUGCAGGAUGAAGGCCUUCGGGUUGUAAACUGCUUUUGUACGGAACGAAACGGCCUUUUCUAAUAAAGAGGGCUAAUGACGGUACCGUAAGAAUAAGCACCGGCUAACUACGUGCCAGCAGCCGCGGUAAUACGUAGGGUGCAAGCGUUAAUCGGAAUUACUGGGCGUAAAGCGUGCGCAGGCGGUUAUGUAAGACAGUUGUGAAAUCCCCGGGCUCAACCUGGGAACUGCAUCUGUGACUGCAUAGCUAGAGUACGGAAAAGGGGGAAUGGAAAUUCCGCGGUGUAGCAGUGAAAUGCGUAGAUUUGCGGAGGAACCCCGAA
This 673-nucleotide ribosomal RNA is filed under the name Variovorax sp. RNAcentral's name for it is "bacterial SSU rRNA". It matches the Rfam family "Bacterial small subunit ribosomal RNA", at positions 48 to 713 of the family's 1533-position model. Lineage: Bacteria; Pseudomonadati; Pseudomonadota; Betaproteobacteria; Burkholderiales; Comamonadaceae. The record is from RNAcentral.